GAGUCAUAGUCAAGAUAGAUUCAUAACCUAGGUCUUGUCUUCGUUCAUAAAUUUUGUCUCAAAAAACGAAACCUUUCUUUACCUCAGCGCACUGCCUCGCCGCCAGCGUCUUCUCCCUCCUCCCCUUCUCCCCUUUCAAUGCUACCCCGGUAGUGAAGGCAGUGAUGGCCCUCGUUUCGUCUUGGACCUCGCUCCAUGACCUUGCCCUUUCUCCUCCCGGCUUCCGGAUCUUCUUCUCAUGGAACCAUGAACCAGGGGACAACGUAGCCGUCGGGCUCGGCUAUUAGGAGCUUUUCUUCCGGGGUGAGGGUUGAGGGGUUGGUGUCGAGCUCUAAGGGUGGAGGCGGGCCGGCUUUCGUGGGGCAAGUCUUUAGCAUGCUUGAUCCCUCCGGCAAUGGCCUCAUGGCGGUCACCACUUGGUUCGACAUCCCUUUCCUCACAACAGGUCAAACACUUUCCCUUUCCUCUAUCACUUCACGACUUUAGGAUUUAUGGUCAAGAAGCAAUUUUAAUCCUCGAAGUCAUUUUUACCAAUUAUCAUCCAACAAUUCUGCUCUUUUGGUGAUAAAAUAAUGGUAUAUAUUUAAUUCAUGAAAGAAUAAUUCUAAUUUUCACACUAUCAUGAAGGAAAAAUGUGUAUCAUUUGGUAUAUUUUAAUCAUCAUGUCAAUUAUCAUUUUUUGUGCAAAGCUCCUGCGUGGAUCAAAAAAAAUGCUAGAGUCGAUUACUGGCUCAGAUAAAAAAAGGUCCCAUUUUCCAAUUUUUCAUGGAUUUAGGUGAUGCAGGUAAGAGAAGAAACUGGAACAAGUGACUAAAAUUUUGUAUGUUAAACACCUCAAUGUUCCAACUGGUAUGGUGGGUGCUUGCCGCCUUGAUGUAGCAUAUGAGCAUUUCAAGCCAGUUGGAGAAUUUGCGGGUGAAAUGCAAACCUACAUUGGCGUUCUCGUUUGAGAAAAGAUCUCAAUAACUUACAAAUCAUGGAAGCAGGUGUCAAAUGAUGUUAAAGAGUUAAUAUGGGAAUCGGUGAAUCUGACGUACAAUAUUGACCCAACUUGGAGGAAAGGAUGUUUACAUUCAGCAAAUAAUAAAUGGCGUCAAUAUAAAACUUUUCUCACUCAAAAGUUUGUUUUCAGCAAGUUAGAUAAACCGGAUGAGUUGAAAGAUCCACCGAUUGGCUAUGGUAUUUCACAAGAUGAUUGGAGUUCCUUUGUAAUAACUCGCAUGUCUGUCGACUUCAGGAGAGUAAGUGAUGAACAAAAGAACAGAAGAAGCCAGAACGUAUACCCUCAUCGGCUAUCCCGUAAAAGAUAUGCACAUUUCGCUGACGAAAUUGCAUCUGAUUUAUGUGAUGAUGAUGAUAUAAAUCGAGCUAUUAUUUGGAAGAGAAGACGAGCCAAUAAGGAGGGUGAAUUUGAAGGCGAUGAUUCAAAAUUACAGCAAGAAAGAUUUUCAUGAAAACAAUUUACUCCAAUGAAGAAAUUGACGAAGCAUGAUCCGAAUGGGCGGAUUGCGUACUAGACUAUAUUCAUUACUAGGUAUAAAUUACUAGACUUCAAAAGAUGGUUGAACACUUUGUUUGUGACUCCAUGACUUAUUGAUUUUGAUUCCU
Long non-coding RNA from Zingiber officinale, 1608 nucleotides. RefSeq lists it as uncharacterized. Lineage: Eukaryota; Viridiplantae; Streptophyta; Magnoliopsida; Zingiberales; Zingiberaceae. The transcript is spliced from 7 exons. The record is from RefSeq and is a predicted model, not a curated record.